Long non-coding RNA from Pipra filicauda (Wire-tailed manakin), 926 nucleotides. RefSeq lists it as uncharacterized. Lineage: Eukaryota; Metazoa; Chordata; Aves; Passeriformes; Pipridae. The record is from RefSeq and is a predicted model, not a curated record. The transcript has 7 exons.
GUGUGGGGUUUGUUUGUUUUUCUGUUUCUGUUAGGGUUUCUCUUUUUGCAGGUCCUUCUUUCCAGGAAGCCUUAUCCUUAUUAUACUGCAGCAGACCUUUGCUUCUUCACAUGAAACCAAAGAGCCUGAGUUCCUCAUCAGUGAAGAGGAGCUGCGGAUAGUGAACUGGUUAUUAUGUCCUUAAAACUGUGGUCGGCAGGAGAAAAUUUGACAACAGGAGUCUAAUGGUCUACCAGAGAUCUGGAAACCAGAGGAUGAUUAUGUGUAACCAGCAGACAGUGAAGCUCCUGCAGAUUGACAGCAACGCACUGAGAAGAGGGAGUGAUAUAGAGUGGCUUGAUGAGACCUGCUGUCCAGCCAAGAUCAACCCACCACAGCACCACAGAUUCAUUGAAAGGAAAACGGACAACCCUCCAAACUGAGGUCAACUCAUGGUCAAAGGUCUGCAGAGGACCUUCUGGUAGAUUUGGAAGCUUGUUGCUGUGAUACCUGACUGCCUGCCUACCUACCCAUCACCUGCUGUACAAGAGUUGUUGGGAGUCCUGGUAGAAGUUUGGCAGCCUGUCAGAGACACCUGCACCCACGUGGAAGAAUGGGUACAUUCAACAGUUUGUGUUUCAGAACCGCCAAGAAUCAUGAAAAUUAGAUGUAAUCAAAUGCCCCUCAAGAUUUUUUCCCCUGCAGGAACAGAGGAAACAACUGCAGAAGUGGCAGCUCUAUAAGCAAAUAAACACUCCAGAGAGUUGCUCAUGAUGGAAGUUGGACUUCAAAGAUACAAAUUGAAGCCUUCAGAGCCAGUUUAAUAUGCAUAAUGUGGUCUGAUGAAAAAUAGUAUAGCUAUGCUGUGGUGACCAGCACUGCUUAGCAUUCAUUUGGAUUUCAAGCUGCAAUGGAGGAAUGGUGCAACAUUUGGAUACACAACAUUC